Molecule: ribosomal RNA, 434 nt
Filed under: uncultured bacterium
Lineage: Bacteria
Description: bacterial SSU rRNA
Rfam family: Bacterial small subunit ribosomal RNA
Source: RNAcentral
UGAGGAAUAUUGGUCAAUGGGCGAGAGCCUGAACCAGCCAAGUCGCGUGAGGGAAGACGGUCCUACGGAUUGUAAACCUCUUUUGUCGGGGAGCAAUAAAGCGUACGCGUACGCAGAUGCGAGUACCCGAAGAAAAAUGCAUCGGCUAACUCCGUGCCAGCAGCCGCGGUAAUACGGAGGAUGCGAGCGUUAUCCGGAUUUAUUGGGUUUAAAGGGUGCGCAGGCGGAAAGUGCAAGUCAGCGGUCAAACGACGGGGCUCAACCCCGUCUCGCCGUUGAAACUGUCUUUCUAGAGUGAGCGAGAAGUAUGCGGAAUGCGUGGUGUAGCGGUGAAAUGCAUAGAUAUCACGCAGAACUCCGAUUGCGAAGGCAGCAUACCGGCGCUCAACUGACGCUCAUGCACGAAAGCGUGGUAUCGAACAGGAUUAGAUACC